Molecule: ribosomal RNA, 382 nt
Filed under: uncultured bacterium
Lineage: Bacteria
Description: bacterial SSU rRNA
Rfam family: Bacterial small subunit ribosomal RNA
Source: RNAcentral
AUUGAACGCUGGCGGCAUGCCUAACACAUGCAAGUCGAACGGGUUGUAGCAAUACAACUAGUGGCGGACGGGUGAGGAAUACAUAGGAAUUUGCCUUUAGGUGGGGGAUAGCCCGGGGAAACUCGGAGUAAUACCGCAUGAUGUCGCAAGACCAAAGCCGGGGAUCGCAAGACCUGGCGCCUUUAGAGAAGCCUAUGUCUGAUUAGCUAGUUGGUAGGGUAAUGGCCUACCAAGGCGACGAUCAGUAACUGGUCUGAGAGGACGAUCAGUCACACCGGAACUGAGACACGGUCCGGACUCCUACGGGAGGCAGCAGUGGGGAAUAUUGGACAAUGGGCGAAAGCCUGAUCCAGCAAUGCCGCGUGUGUGAAGAAGGCCUCGG